ACUUUUUCUGCAAGCGUUAUCCGGAUUCAUUGGGUUUAAAGGGUGCGUAGGCGGGGUAAUAAGUCAGUGGGGAAAGCCUACAGCUUAACUGUAGAAUUGCCGUUGAUACUGUUAUCCUUGAGUAUAGUUGAGGUAGCUGGAAUGUGUGGUGUAGGGGUGAAAUGCUUAGAUAUCACACAGAACACCAAUUGCGAAGGCAGGUUACUAAACUAUAACUGACGCUGAGGCACGAAAGCGUGGGGAGCAAACAG
This 251-nucleotide ribosomal RNA is filed under the name uncultured prokaryote. Its description in RNAcentral is "partial 16S rRNA". It matches the Rfam family "Bacterial small subunit ribosomal RNA", at positions 525 to 775 of the family's 1533-position model. The record is from RNAcentral.